UAGGGAAUCUUCGGCAAUGGACGGAAGUCUGACCGAGCAACGCCGCGUGAGUGAAGAAGGUUUUCGGAUCGUAAAGCUCUGUUGUAAGAGAAGAACGAGUGUGAGAGUGGAAAGUUCACACUGUGACGGUAUCUUACCAGAAAGGGACGGCUAACUACGUGCCAGCAGCCGCGGUAAUACGUAGGUCCCGAGCGUUGUCCGGAUUUAUUGGGCGUAAAGCGAGCGCAGGCGGUUAGAUAAGUCUGAAGUUAAAGGCUGUGGCUUAACCAUAGUACGCUUUGGAAACUGUUUAACUUGAGUGCAAGAGGGGAGAGUGGAAUUCCAUGUGUAGCGGUGAAAUGCGUAGAUAUAUGGAGGAACACCGGUGGCGAAAGCGGCUCUCUGGCUUGUAACUGACGCUGAGGCUCGAAAGCGUGGGGAGCAAACAGGAUUAGAUACCCUGGUAGUCCACGCCGUAAACGAUGAGUGCUAGGUGUUAGACCCUUUCCGGGGUUUAGUGCCGCAGCUAACGCAUUAAGCACUCCGCCUGGGGAGUACGACCGCAAGNNNG
This 550-nucleotide ribosomal RNA is filed under the name uncultured bacterium. RNAcentral describes it as "bacterial SSU rRNA". It matches the Rfam family "Bacterial small subunit ribosomal RNA", at positions 355 to 896 of the family's 1533-position model. The record is from RNAcentral.